UUUUACUUACAGACUUACUCAGAACUUUAUUUAAAAUAUAAUAAGCCGAUUCGAGUGCAUAUCCCUAAAAAGAGAUUGACAGACUUGCAAAGCCCAUCAUGGAUCGAACCAUAUCUAACAGGAUUCGAUUCCUCCUUUUCGAUACAAGAGGGAUCCAUUGCAAGAGAAUCUCAUUCUCUUUUAAGUAUGUCAGAAACUCACUAGAGAGGUAUUCUCCUCC
RNAcentral lists this long non-coding RNA (220 nucleotides) under Elaeis guineensis (African oil palm). Its description in RNAcentral is "long non-coding RNA (EGUI_LNC027903)". Lineage: Eukaryota; Viridiplantae; Streptophyta; Magnoliopsida; Arecales; Arecaceae. The record is from RNAcentral.